CCUACGGGUGGCAGCAGUGAGGGAUAUUGGUCAAUGGGGGAAACCCUGAACCAGCAACGCCGCGUGAGGGAAGACGGUUUUCGGAUUGUAAACCUCUGUCCUCUGUGAAGAUAAUGACGGUAGCAGAGGAGGAAGCUCCGGCUACCUACGUGCCAGCAGCCGCGGUAAUACGUAGGGAGCAAGCGUUGUCCGGAUUUACUGGGUGUAAAGGGUGCGUUGGCGGCCUUGCAAGUCAGAAGUGAAAACCAUGGGCUUAACCCGUGAACUGCUUUUGAAACUGUAGUGCUUGAGUGAAGUAGAGGAUAGCGGAAUUCCAGGUGUAGGAGUGAAAUCCGUAGAUAUCUGGAGGAACACCAGUGGCGAAGGCGACUAUCUGGCACAUAACUGACGCUGAGGAGCGAAAGCGUGGGUAGCAAACAGGAUUAGAUACCCCAGUAGUC
Molecule: ribosomal RNA, 440 nt
Filed under: uncultured bacterium
Lineage: Bacteria
Description: partial 16S ribosomal RNA
Rfam family: Bacterial small subunit ribosomal RNA
Source: RNAcentral